AUUGAGCGCUGGCGGCAGGCCUAACACAUGCAAGUCGAGCGGUUGAGGUAGCUUGCUACCGAAGCAGCGGCGAACGGGUGAGUGAUACAUGGGAAUCUGCCUGGUAGUGGGGGACAACGUUUCGAAAGGAACGCUAAUACCGCAUACGCCCUACGGGGGAAAGGGGGGGAUCGCAAGACCUCUCGCUAUCAGAUGAGCCCAUGUCAGAUUAGCUGGUUGGUGAGGUAAAGGCUCACCAAGGCGACGAUCUGUAACUGGUCUGAGAGGAUGAUCAGUCACACUGGAACUGAGACACGGUCCAGACUCCUACGGGAGGCAGCAGUGGGGAAUAUUGGACAAUGGGGGCAACCCUGAUCCAGCCAUGCCGCGUAUGUGAAGAAGGCCUUAGGGUUGUAAAGCACUUUCAGUGGGGAGAAAGGUGAUUCACCUAAUACGUGAGUCAAUUGAUGCUACCCACAGAAGAAGCACCGGCUAACUCCGUGCCAGCAGCCGCAGUAA
This 498-nucleotide ribosomal RNA is filed under the name uncultured bacterium. RNAcentral describes it as "partial 16S ribosomal RNA". It matches the Rfam family "Bacterial small subunit ribosomal RNA", at positions 30 to 523 of the family's 1533-position model. The record is from RNAcentral.